Molecule: long non-coding RNA, 1071 nt
Organism: Biomphalaria glabrata
Lineage: Eukaryota; Metazoa; Mollusca; Gastropoda; Planorbidae
Exons: 4
Source: RefSeq, a predicted model, not a curated record
UGGGUAAUUUAUCAUGAAGAAUAAUCUUUUGAAAAGAAAACCCUAAAUUCUGUUUCAUUUUGACCGGGGCUGCUCUGUCUAAUUGUAAACCAUGUGGCGGCCAUGUUCAUGAUUUAAUGUAACAAUAAAUUAUCUUUUUCCUCUAAAUCUAGAUUAUCAGUUCAAAAUCUUCUACUCGACGUCUAUAUCUAUAAAUCCUUUAUAACUAGUUCAGUCCUAGUCUAAAAACCAAUGUUACGACUCAAUUCAAUAAUUCAUGUUGAUGGGUCUAGAGUACUAGACUGAAUCGAUUUAAGAUAAUUUAUCUUAUCGUAAUUACUAAUUUUAUUAGAUUUAUUUAAAUAGAACUAAUAAUUUAAAAUUUAGAUAGAUCUAUCUAGACUAGUUACUAGAUCUAUAGAAAUUCUCAAUCAAGAUUAUCUAAAUCUAUAUAGAUCAAGAAGAAGAACAGUUUAAAGAAAAUAAUACCAGGGUUAUGCUCCUUUCACCGUUGAGUUCCAGGAUGAAGAAUGAAAGACAGAGAGCAAUGUGAAGACAUCAAAGAAUGUGCAGGUCUGCCAUGAAAUGGUUUAUCCAGGGCUAAGUACAGAGAGGAAUAUAGAAGGGCUGUUGACUGAUCUUGUGUGGUGCCCCCAUGGCUCAACAGACUGAUUGAUAGAAAAUAAUACCAGGGUUAUGUUCCUUUCACUGUUGAGUUCCAGGAUGAAGAAUGAAAGACAGAGAGCAAUGUGAAGACAUCAAAGAAUGUGCAGGUCUGCCAUGAAAUGGUUUAUCCAGGGCUAAGUACAGAGAGGAAUAUAGAAGGGCUGUUGACAGAUCUUGUGUGGUGCCCCCAUGGUUCAACAGACUGAUUGAUAGGUAAUGAAAAUAAUACCAGGGUAAUGGUCCUUUCACUGUUGAGUUCCAGGAUGAAGAAUGAGAAAGACAGAGAGCAAUGUGAAGACAUCAAAGAAUGUGCAGGUCUGCCAUGAAAUGGUUUAUCCAGGGCUAAGUACAGAGAGGAAUAUAGAAGGGCUGUUGACAGAUCUUGUGUGGUGCCCCCAUGGUUCAACAGACUGAUUGAUAGGUAAU